GCUUGUUCUAGAGAGGCUGCCUCAAGGAAUGGCACCAUCCAUUCUCCUGGGAGCCCAGACCUGGCCUUCCUCUCGGUCCUCAUCUGCGGGCUUCAGUCUCAAAGGUCCAGGACCAGUGUGAGCACCUGUGAUGUCUAUGUGGAUGGAGAGUGCCUGGAAUUGGCAGGUUUGCACAAGGACACCCCCUCCCCUGCCCUGGCUCUUCUAGCCUCAGUGUGGGGGCGCUGGUCACAGGGUGGGGAGAAAGCUUUUCCUCCAAAGACACUUGACCAUUUUGGUCAGAGUGGGGCGAAAAGCCUGGUGAGCAGAGGUUGGUGGCCGAGGGAGACAGGGUACAAGGUCCAUGGAAAAAAUGGAAACGAGAGGGUCAGGAACUCCCAGGAGGGGGAAGAGACCAUAGAACAUUCUUCACUACAGUGGAAGGGCUGGACAAAUGGCACAACACUUGCCAACCAUCUGACCUUUAAGAGUCCUGUUUCUUGCCCUAUGGGUUCAUGA
This 498-nucleotide long non-coding RNA is filed under the name Sus scrofa (pig). Its description in RNAcentral is "lncRNA (ENSSSCG00005022572.1)". The record is from RNAcentral. Lineage: Eukaryota; Metazoa; Chordata; Mammalia; Artiodactyla; Suidae.